UACAGAGGGUGCGAGCGUUAAUCGGAUUUACUGGGCGUAAAGCGUACGUAGGCGGCUUUUUAAGUCGGAUGUGAAAUCCCUGAGCUUAACUUAGGAAUUACAUUCGAUACUGGGAAGCUAGAGUAUGGGAGAGGAUGGUAGAAUUCCAGGUGUAGCGGUGAAAUGCGUAGAGAUCUGGAGGAAUACCGAUGGCGAAGGCAGCCAUCUGGCCUAAUACUGACGCUGAGGUACGAAGGCAUGGGGAGCAAACAGG
This 253-nucleotide ribosomal RNA is filed under the name uncultured Acinetobacter sp. RNAcentral's name for it is "partial 16S ribosomal RNA". It matches the Rfam family "Bacterial small subunit ribosomal RNA", at positions 524 to 776 of the family's 1533-position model. The record is from RNAcentral. Lineage: Bacteria; Pseudomonadati; Pseudomonadota; Gammaproteobacteria; Moraxellales; Moraxellaceae.